Molecule: ribosomal RNA, 442 nt
Filed under: uncultured bacterium
Lineage: Bacteria
Description: bacterial SSU rRNA
Rfam family: Bacterial small subunit ribosomal RNA
Source: RNAcentral
AGCGAACGUUAGCGGCGGGCCUAACACAUGCAAGUCGAACGCGAAAGGUCUUCGGACUGAGUAGAGUGGCGCACGGGUGAGUAACACGUAGGUAAUCUACCCUUUGGCGGGGGAUAACGUUCCGAAAGGAGCGCUAAUACCGCAUAAGACCACGGAGUCUCCGGACGCUGUGGGAAAAGGUGGCCUCUUCUUGAAAGCUACCACCGAAGGAUGAGCCUGCGUCCCAUCAGCUAGUUGGUAAGGUAAUGGCUUACCAAGGCGAAGACGGGUAGCUGGUUUGAGAGAAUGAUCAGCCACACUGGCACUGGAACACGGGCCAGACUCCUACGGGAGGCAGCAGUGAGGAAUAUUGGGCAAUGGGCGAAAGCCUGACCCAGCCACGCCGCGUGAGUGAUGAAGGCCCUCGGGUCGUAAGCUCUGUGGAGAGGGACGAAAACCCUGG